This is a long non-coding RNA of Crotalus tigris (Tiger rattlesnake), 1026 nucleotides long. RefSeq lists it as uncharacterized. The transcript is spliced from 2 exons. Lineage: Eukaryota; Metazoa; Chordata; Lepidosauria; Squamata; Viperidae. The record is from RefSeq and is a predicted model, not a curated record.
UUCAGUUUUUGGCUUGAUUAUGCACUGCCGAUGUUAUCCUACUUGAAAUAAAGAUUCUUUAAGGUCAACAAUGCUUCAAAGUUCUUUUGAAGAGUUUCAUCUGUCGGAACCAUGACAAUAGAUAGCACAAUCAUCUCCAGAUCUUUCUCCUUUAACCUCUCUAUUGGAAGGUUGCAUUCACCGGAUGCGCUGAACCAUAAACUAGACAGUCACAUUUUUUAGGCUGAUGUGUGACCUCAGCCCAUAUCUGCAAUUCAAUGUUCUGUAAACCUAGAAAUUUGACCUGACUGACUAAACCACAUUUAAGUCAUCUAUGGAUUAAACAUAUCAUAUCAACACAGCCUAACACUUGAACUGAGUUCCCACCUAGAUACAAAGCACUAUCUACUGUCCUGGCUGUUUCAGGGGGGAAAAACCAAUAUUCCAAUCUCUGUAGCAGCUGUAUAAACACUGAUUUUUGCUACAGGAGUCAAAUAAACAAUCCAGCACAUUGUGAUGCUCUGUUUUUUAGCUGAGGGCUGCCUGGGGUGUACAUGGAGCUACGGAGCGAGGGAGAUGCCACCUCUACAUGGUUUCUGCUGCUUCUGCCUGAAAACUACUCACCGCAAUUUGGCAUGGGCAAAAGCAUUAGCAGUGGGAUUUUUUUAAAAAACAACACCUUGCAACUUGGCACCCUGCAAAAUUUGGAAGGCAGAAAUCCAGUAACUGCAGGGAAGGCUCUGGAGGACUUGAGGGCAAGGCGAACCCGUUGGGCCCUGAUUUCAGAGGGGAAAAAACAACUUUGUUCCAAUGACACCGCUGAGCCUAACAAAAAUUUAUCAUGGUGACCAACUCAGCCAUUUUUUUUUAAAGUGGGUGCUUCUUAUUCCCGCUCAGAAAACAAGUACUUCAGCAAAUACUAGUCUGAUCUAGUCAUAUCCUCCUAACAGGAAACAACCUACAAGUUGAGGACUCUACUAGCACAUUCAUUCUGGAAAUGGAAUAGGAUUUCAUCAUCUUUUUGGCUUCCUGGAUUUUUUUUUUAAA